CCUACGGGCGGCAGCAGUGGGGAAUAUUGGACAAUGGGGGCAACCCUGAUCCAGCCAUGCCGUGUGUGUGAAGAAGGCCCUCGGGUUGUAAAGCACUUUCAGUGAGGAAGAACGCCUGGUGGUUAAUACCCAUCAGGAAAGACAUCACUCACAGAAGAAGCACCGGCUAACUCCGUGCCAGCAGCCGCGGUAAUACGGAGGGUGCGAGCGUUAAUCGGAAUUACUGGGCGUAAAGCGCGCGUAGGUGGCUUGAUAAGCCGGUUGUGAAAGCCCCGGGCUCAACCUGGGAACGGCAUCCGGAACUGUCAAGCUAGAGUGCAGGAGAGGAAGGUAGAAUUCCCGGUGUAGCGGUGAAAUGCGUAGAGAUCGGGAGGAAUACCAGUGGCGAAGGCGGCCUUCUGGACUGACACUGACACUGAGGUGCGAAAGCGUGGGUAGCAAACAGGAUUAGAUACCCGAGUAGUC
Molecule: ribosomal RNA, 465 nt
Filed under: Vreelandella stevensii
Lineage: Bacteria; Pseudomonadati; Pseudomonadota; Gammaproteobacteria; Oceanospirillales; Halomonadaceae
Description: partial 16S ribosomal RNA
Rfam family: Bacterial small subunit ribosomal RNA
Source: RNAcentral